Long non-coding RNA from Procambarus clarkii (red swamp crayfish), 1110 nucleotides. RefSeq lists it as uncharacterized. NCBI's taxonomy places the organism in Eukaryota, Metazoa, Arthropoda, Malacostraca, Decapoda, Cambaridae. The record is from RefSeq and is a predicted model, not a curated record.
CAGCCGGGGUGCCGGAGAGUCUUCAGUGACCUCCGGUGCGAGCGGACGAGUAGACCCGCCAUCAUUUCCCUUGUCCACCACCACAGGCCUACCAAACCACCACCUCACAAAAUGUUGCGGGUGUUGCUUGUCGUCUGCCUGGCAGUCUGCGUUCUCAGUACUCCGUGGCCACACCACGAAAUUGGUCACGGGGACUGUACCUCCUGCUCCACCGUCAGCUGUGUGGACGUCUCCCGCCACUGUCCCAACCACCUCAUCAAAGGUGGUCCUUGUGGCUGUUGUCUAGUCUGCUCCCAGAUCGUGGGAGAUUUAGCGGAACCUCAUCACUCUCACUGCGUCAACGAGGGGAACGACCACGAUGUCCAUGGCCACUCCCACGACACUCACGACGAUUACUGCAAAGCUCUUGGUCACAAAGACUAAUAUGUUGCACCAGGACACCCGCGGGAUACCAGUGAGGGACCCUUCAUAGACCACUGAACAUGUACAUUGUUGACAACAAUCACACACACACACACACACACAGAACAAAGAGCCGAAGCUCAGCCCCCCGCAAGCACAACUAGGGGAGUACACACACACACAUCUACUUUUCUACGGCUCGCAAGUGUGAGGAAAAUGACCUAAAGAAUUGCUAUCAACCCCGAAGAGGCUCUGCAUUGUACUGCAAGAGUAAGAAGAUCAAUAACUUCCAAAUGAAGAAUUCUCCAGACACCAAAGACUAGACCUUGAACGAGACGAAUAUUCUCUUUACGUUUACAUACCCACUUGAAAUUGUCAGCCUCAGUGCUCUCAAUAUAUAGGCAAGCCGACAUCUCUUUCACUCGAGUGAUAAAGCAGAAAGAACAAGACACUAAAGUUCAAAUUUUGUAUAUAAAAACAGACCGUUACCUGAAAGAUCCCACUAGCAAUAACAGUAGGCAUAUAACCUUCAGAAAGUCUCGACAACAAUACAACUUGACCUACGAAAUGAAGGACUCAAUUAUCCUGUUCUCUCAUCACACACGCACGGACACAUGAAAUCUUUACUGCUUUGUUGUUGUGUAUGCUCUCUUUUAUACUGUGUGUGAGUUAGUACAAUGUGUAAGGCAUAAUAAACUUUUGAAAAAU